CUGGCUCAGGAUGAACGCUAGCUACAGGCUUAACACAUGCAAGUCGAGGGGCAGCAUUGGGAUAGCUUGCUAUCCAGAUGGCGACCGGCGCACGGUGAGUAACGCGUAUCCAACCUUCCCUAUAGUAGAGAAUAGCCCGGCGAAAGUCGGAUUAAUGCUCUAUGUUGUGUUUUGAGGACAUCUGACGAACACCAAAGGUUCACCGCUAUAGGAUGGGGAUGCGUCUGAUUAGCUUGUUGGCGGGGUAACGGCCCACCAAGGCGACGAUCAGUAGGGGUUCUGAGAGGAAGGUCCCCCACAUUGGUACUGAGACACGGACCAAACUCCUACGGGAGGCAGCAGUGAGGAAUAUUGGUCAAUGGGCGAGAGCCUGAACCAGCCAAGUAGCGUGCAGGGAAUGACUGCCCUAUGGGUUGUAAACUGCUUUUAUCAGGGAAUAAAGUGCGGCACGUGUGCCGUUUUGUAUGUACCUGAUGAAUAAGGACCGGCUAAUUCCGUGCCAGCAGCCGC
RNAcentral lists this ribosomal RNA (510 nucleotides) under uncultured bacterium. RNAcentral's name for it is "bacterial SSU rRNA". It matches the Rfam family "Bacterial small subunit ribosomal RNA", at positions 19 to 518 of the family's 1533-position model. The record is from RNAcentral.